AACGAACGCUGGCGGCAUGCCUAACACAUGCAAGUCGAACGAGACCUUCGGGUCUAGUGGCGCACGGGUGCGUAACGCGUGGGAACCUGCCCUUAGGUUCGGAAUAACUCCCCGAAAGGGGUGCUAAUACCGGAUAAUGCCUUCGGACCAAAGAUUUAUCGCCUUUGGAUGGGCCCGCGUUGGAUUAGCUAGUUGGUAGGGUAAAAGCCUACCAAGGCGACGAUCCAUAGCUGGUCUGAGAGGAUGAUCAGCCACACUGGGACUGAGACACGGCCCAGACUCCUACGGGAGGCAGCAGUGGGGAAUAUUGGACAAUGGGCGAAAGCCUGAUCCAGCAAUGCCGCGUGAGUGAUGAAGGCCUUAGGGUUGCAAAGCUCUUUUACCCGGGAUGAUAAUGACAGUACCGGGAGAAUAAGCUCCGGCUAACUCCGUG
Molecule: ribosomal RNA, 433 nt
Filed under: uncultured bacterium
Lineage: Bacteria
Description: partial 16S ribosomal RNA
Rfam family: Bacterial small subunit ribosomal RNA
Source: RNAcentral